AAAAAGCUCGUAGUUGGAUUUCUGCACGGGUGGGGCGCCGCCCGGCCUCUGGCUUGGGUUGAGCAGCAACUCCCGUGCAUCCUGCCGCGAACCUCGCUACCAUUCGUUUGGUGGCGCCUGGGGAUCGGCUCGUUUACUUUGAGAAAAAUAGAGUGUUCAAAGCAGGCCUGAUGCCUUGAAUAAUGUAGCAUGGAAUAAUGAUAAAGGACUUUGGUUCUAUUUUGUUGGUGUUCGGGACCGAAGUAAUGAUUGAUAGGGACAGUUGGGGGCGUCUGUAUUCUGAAGCGAGAGGUGAAAUUCUUAGACCUUCGGAAGACAAACAGCUGCGAAAGCGUUCGCCAAGGAUGUUCCCUUUGAUCAAGAACGAAAGUUGGGGGAUCGAAGACGAUCAGAUACCGUCGUAGUCUCAACUAUAAACUAUACCAGCUAGGGAUCGGCCAACGUUGAUAUC
RNAcentral lists this ribosomal RNA (451 nucleotides) under uncultured marine eukaryote. RNAcentral's name for it is "bacterial SSU rRNA". It matches the Rfam family "Eukaryotic small subunit ribosomal RNA", at positions 621 to 1070 of the family's 1831-position model. The record is from RNAcentral.